RNAcentral lists this ribosomal RNA (427 nucleotides) under uncultured bacterium. Its description in RNAcentral is "partial 16S ribosomal RNA". It matches the Rfam family "Bacterial small subunit ribosomal RNA", at positions 354 to 796 of the family's 1533-position model. The record is from RNAcentral.
GUGGGGAAUAUUGGGCAAUGGGGGCAACCCUGACCCAGCGACGCCGCGUGAGGGAAGAAGGCCUUAGGGUCGUAAACCUCUGUUGUGUGGGAAGAAGGAAGUGACGGUACCACACGAGGAAGUCCCGGCUAACUACGUGCCAGCAGCCGCGGUAAUACGUAGGGGACGAGCGUUGUCCGGAAUUACUGGGCGUAAAGGGCGCGUAGGCGGUCAUUUAAGUCAGCUGUGAAAUGGUCCGGCUCAACCGGAUCAUGCGGUUGAAACUGGAUGACUGGAGUGCUGGAGAGGCAAGUGGAAUUCCCAGUGUAGCGGUGAAAUGCGUAGAUAUUGGGAAGAACACCGGUGGCGAAGGCGACUUGCUGGCCAACAACUGACGCUGAGGCGCGAAAGCCAGGGGAGCAAACGGGAUUAGAAACCCCAGUAGUCC